UACCAGCACCCCGAGUGGCCGGGACGUUUAUUGGGCCUAAAGCAUCCGUAGCCGGUUCUACAAGUCUUCCGUUAAAUCCAUCUGCUUAACAGAUGGGCUGCGGAAGAUACUAUAGAGCUAGGAGGCGGGAGAGGCAAGCGGUACUCGAUGGGUAGGGGUAAAAUCCGUUGAUCCAUUGAAGACCACCAGUGGCGAAGGCGGCUUGCCAGAACGCGCUCGACGGUGAGGGAUGAAAGCUGGGGGAGCAAACCGG
RNAcentral lists this ribosomal RNA (253 nucleotides) under uncultured bacterium. RNAcentral's name for it is "partial 16S ribosomal RNA". It matches the Rfam family "Archaeal small subunit ribosomal RNA", at positions 474 to 727 of the family's 1478-position model. The record is from RNAcentral.